This 753-nucleotide ribosomal RNA is filed under the name Amanita inopinata. Its description in RNAcentral is "eukaryotic LSU rRNA". The stretch from base 326 to 479 matches the Rfam family "5.8S ribosomal RNA". Lineage: Eukaryota; Fungi; Basidiomycota; Agaricomycetes; Agaricales; Amanitaceae. The record is from RNAcentral.
CUUGGUCAUUUAGAGGAAGUAAAAGUCGUAACAAGGUUUCCGUAGGUGAACCUGCGGAAGGAUCAUUAUUGAAUGAACCUUGGUGAGGGGUUGUUGCUGGCCUCUAGAGGCAUCGUGCACACCUCUUUACCAUUGCUUCUUUCUCUUUUUCCACCUGUGCACUUAUUGUAGACCUUGGGUUGUGAGGAGCUGAGUGGUCAAGCCCCUUGGCUCUUUGUUAAGCCCCUUUUUCCAAGGUCUAUGUUAUCUUUACAUACACUCUGCAUGAAUGUUUAUAGAAUGUAGUUUUGUAAGGCUUUUCUCAAAGCCUUUAAACAAAUAAUACAACUUUCAACAACGGAUCUCUUGGCUCUCGCAUCGAUGAAGAACGCAGCGAAAUGCGAUAAGUAAUGUGAAUUGCAGAAUUCAGUGAAUCAUCGAAUCUUUGAACGCACCUUGCGCUCCUUGGUAUCCCGAGGAGCAUGCCUGUUUGAGUGUCAGUAAAUUCUCAAACCUUUACAAGUUUUGCUUUCUUUGAAAGAUCAACUUGUUAAGGCUUUUGGAGUUGGGAGCCUGCAGGCUUGCACUUUGCAAGUCAGCUCUCCUCAAAUGCAUUAGCAGGAGAUAUGAGUAGUGAUGCUCCCUAUUGGUGUGAUAAUUAUCUACACCAGGGAACUGCUUUCAAAUGUUGUCUCUGCUUUCUAAUUGUCUUUGGACAAUUGACAAUCUUGACCUCAAAUCAGGUAGGACUACCCGCUGAACUUAAGCAUAUCA